RNAcentral lists this ribosomal RNA (253 nucleotides) under uncultured bacterium. RNAcentral describes it as "partial 16S ribosomal RNA". It matches the Rfam family "Bacterial small subunit ribosomal RNA", at positions 524 to 776 of the family's 1533-position model. The record is from RNAcentral.
UACGAAGGGGGCUAGCGUUGCUCGGAAUCACUGGGCGUAAAGGGUGCGUAGGCGGGUUUUUAAGUCAGGGGUGAAAUCCUGGAGCUCAACUCCAGAACUGCCUUUGAUACUGAAGAUCUUGAGUCCGGGAGAGGUGAGUGGAACUGCGAGUGUAGAGGCGAAAUUCGUAGAUAUUCGCAAGAACACCAGUGGCGAAGGCGGCUCACUGGCCCGGUACUGACGCUGAGGAGCGAAAGCGUGGGGAGCGAACAGG